UGGGGAAUAUUGCACAAUGGGGGAAACCCUGAUGCAGCGACGCCGCGUGAGCGAAGAAGGUUUUCGAAUCGUAAAGCUCUUUCCUAUGAGAAGAUAAUGACGGUAUCAUAGGAGGAAGCCCCGGCUAAAUACGUGCCAGCAGCCGCGGUAAUACGUAGGGGGCUAGCGUUGUCCGGAAUCACUGGGCGUAAAGGGUUCGCAGGCGGAAAUGCAAGUCAGGUGUAAAAGGCAGUAGCUUAACUACUGUAAGCAUUUGAAACUGCAUAUCUUGAGAAGAGUAGAGGUAAGUGGAAUUUUUAGUGUAGCGGUGAAAUGCGUAGAUAUUAAAAAGAAUACCGGUGGCGAAGGCGACUUACUGGGCUCAUUCUGACGCUGAGGAACGAAAGCGUGGGUAGCAAACAGG
RNAcentral lists this ribosomal RNA (403 nucleotides) under Verrucomicrobiota bacterium. RNAcentral describes it as "Verrucomicrobia bacterium partial 16S ribosomal RNA". It matches the Rfam family "Bacterial small subunit ribosomal RNA", at positions 355 to 776 of the family's 1533-position model. Lineage: Bacteria; Pseudomonadati; Verrucomicrobiota. The record is from RNAcentral.